GGAAAAAAAAAGACUGCUUCUUUCCUCUCCAUCAUUUCUUCUCUCCCCUCCCUAGCCCCCUUCUUCUUCCCCAGAACACUUAGUGACAAAGAAAAGCAGCCCAGAAUCUGCUAAAGUUGGAUGUCGUUAGGCCAGGCCACAGGAUGGUGCUAGAUGAGAGGAUGAGGGCAGGGAGUGUUGCCUAAGCUCUCAGCAUCAGAGCUGAACAAAGCUCCCUGCGGGAAAGCGGAGUACUUGCUGGCCUCAUGCUGCCACCCUGCCUAGUCUUUCUCCCACUGCUCUCUCAGAGAUGGGUAAGAAAGAACUGAUCGGGGGCAAUGAGGUGUCCUUGUGCAGAAAAAAAGAGGGGACCUGGCCAAAUAGGGAAGAGAUAUACAGUGCAUUGGCUAUUCCCUUCCCUGACCAGGGGUGCACCUUCUCCCAACUUGACCACAACACAGGGAGAUUUCAAGGCAGUGUACCCUUUCCCAGACUCAGUUUCCCCUUUAGAGAGGAGCGGGGAAGGAGAUGGGUAGUAAUUGUUUAUUUUUUCCCUCUUUUCUUUUUCUCCUCCACUUACCCCUUUUCUUCUCUCUUUUCCCAUAAAUUUCAGGGAGCCCCUCACUUUCCCAUACCAACAGACCUCGACUUUCCUUUCAGCUGGAUUCAGAGCAUGGUCUCAUGCUGGUUGGAGGACCUGGAGACCCACAAGUGCAACCAGAGGACCGACACUAUUGACUUCCUAUGGCCCUGGGCCCAGACUGGCUUCAGUGCUGAGGACCGGGAAGAGCUGCAGACAAACUUACAGAUGAGUGUGCACAAAGACACUUGUGCGUGAAGGAGAUUUAAGUGGAAAAGUCGAUGCACAGAGAAAAUCCCACUCUCUCGGCAUUGGAAGCCUGGGUCCAGUGGCAUGAAAAGUCGUUACAUCUGGAGACUUCCUCAGCUGCAUUGGAUGGCCGUGUUGUCUUUUGUGCUCCAACAUGCCCUAAGCACUCCACAGUGCUUUGCUGCAUCGCCCUCUCAGCCGUUGAACCUUCAUAUUGGUUUCUUCCGUCUGUUUGGCCGAAGCAGUCUUCACAUGCUGGGUGAGCAAAGCCCUGGUUCACCAUGGGUCUGUGACCAGAUGGCUACCCUCACAAGGUUUAGCCGGCCUGUCGAAGCCAUUGCCCGGGGUGUGGCUGCUGCCACACCCUAGCAGCUACUGGGAGCCACAAGUGAGAACUGGGUGUCAGGUGAGGGUCAGAGGCUGGAGAGCUGCCCUAGAAGGGCAAAAUGAUAUUGCUAUUGAAUAAAUUAUUCUCCUGGUUCUGCUUACUUUACUCU
This 1305-nucleotide long non-coding RNA is filed under the name Monodelphis domestica (gray short-tailed opossum). Its description in RNAcentral is "lncRNA (ENSMODG00000033225.2)". The record is from RNAcentral. Lineage: Eukaryota; Metazoa; Chordata; Mammalia; Didelphimorphia; Didelphidae.